RNAcentral lists this ribosomal RNA (1128 nucleotides) under Bacillus mobilis. RNAcentral describes it as "bacterial SSU rRNA". It matches the Rfam family "Bacterial small subunit ribosomal RNA", at positions 35 to 1145 of the family's 1533-position model. Lineage: Bacteria; Bacillati; Bacillota; Bacilli; Caryophanales; Bacillaceae. The record is from RNAcentral.
GGCAUAGGCGCUGCCUAUACAUGCAGUCGAGCGAAUGGAUUGAGAGCUUGCUCUCAAGAAGUUAGCGGCGGACGGGUGAGUAACACGUGGGUAACCUGCCCAUAAGACUGGGAUAACUCCGGGAAACCGGGGCUAAUACCGGAUAAUAUUUUGAACUGCAUGGUUCGAAAUUGAAAGGCGGCUUCGGCUGUCACUUAUGGAUGGACCCGCGUCGCAUUAGCUAGUUGGUGAGGUAACGGCUCACCAAGGCAACGAUGCGUAGCCGACCUGAGAGGGUGAUCGGCCACACUGGGACUGAGACACGGCCCAGACUCCUACGGGAGGCAGCAGUAGGGAAUCUUCCGCAAUGGACGAAAGUCUGACGGAGCAACGCCGCGUGAGUGAUGAAGGCUUUCGGGUCGUAAAACUCUGUUGUUAGGGAAGAACAAGUGCUAGUUGAAUAAGCUGGCACCUUGACGGUACCUAACCAGAAAGCCACGGCUAACUACGUGCCAGCAGCCGCGGUAAUACGUAGGUGGCAAGCGUUAUCCGGAAUUAUUGGGCGUAAAGCGCGCGCAGGUGGUUUCUUAAGUCUGAUGUGAAAGCCCACGGCUCAACCGUGGAGGGUCAUUGGAAACUGGGAGACUUGAGUGCAGAAGAGGAAAGUGGAAUUCCAUGUGUAGCGGUGAAAUGCGUAGAGAUAUGGAGGAACACCAGUGGCGAAGGCGACUUUCUGGUCUGUAACUGACACUGAGGCGCGAAAGCGUGGGGAGCAAACAGGAUUAGAUACCCUGGUAGUCCACGCCGUAAACGAUGAGUGCUAAGUGUUAGAGGGUUUCCGCCCUUUAGUGCUGAAGUUAACGCAUUAAGCACUCCGCCCGGGGAGUACGGCCGCAAGGCUGAGACUCAAAGGAAUUGACGGGGGCGCGCACAAGCGGUGGAGCAUGUGGUUUAAUUCAAAGCAACGCGCAGAACCUUACCAGGUCUUGACAUCCUCUGAAAACCCUAGAGAUAGGGCUUCUCCUUCGGGAGCAGAGUGACAGGUGGUGCAUGGGUGUCGUCACCUCGUGUCCUGAGAUGUUGUGUUAAAGUCCCGCAACCACCGCAACCCUUGAUCUUAUUGUCAUCAUUAGUUUGGGCACUCUCAGG